Molecule: long non-coding RNA, 683 nt
Filed under: Gossypium barbadense (sea-island cotton)
Lineage: Eukaryota; Viridiplantae; Streptophyta; Magnoliopsida; Malvales; Malvaceae
Description: long non-coding RNA (GBAR_LNC015195)
Source: RNAcentral
UUAAACAUAUUUCUCAUUUGAUAAUAUAUAGUAAAAGGGAUGGAUAUUAAAAAAAAACAUUAAGAAAUAAUUAACACUAAUUAUUAGAGCUGAAAAUCUAAAACUCUCUCUUUAUUCAAUCAUGCAAGUCAAAAUGCUACCAAAGAGCUGAAAAUCCAAUUUAAAUCUAAAAAAAACUAAUAAUGAACCACUAGAGAGAGAAAAUUGGACACUAAAAAAAUUAAUACACAAAAUAAAUAGCGUAAUCUAAAGAUUUAAAAUUUAUAGAGAACAUUGAUGUGACCUAAACAAAGAGUGCCACAGCUCCAAGCAAACCAAACAAAGACAUGGUAUAUCCUCGUGUAGAAACAGCAAAGCUUGGUGUGGACUUAACCGGAGUCAUAGCCGGCGCGUUGUCGGCGGAGGGACCAGACGGAGAAGGACCCAUUGGUGGCGGUGCUGAACUCAUUGAUGGGGUUGGUGUAGGAGCCAUUGGUGAAGGAGGUGAUGAGCUCAUUGAUGGGGUUGGUGCCAUUGAUGGGCUUGGGGUAGUUGGAACCACGGUGGGGGAGGGUGAAGAAGUUGGAGUCAUAGCUGGUGUCAUAGUGGUGGUGGGUGGUGGAGCUCCGCCGCUUGACGGUGGCAUUGUGGGUGAUGCCGAUGGGAUCUGAGAUGCUGAAUUUGAUAUUAAAGCAAUCAUUAAA